This 253-nucleotide ribosomal RNA is filed under the name uncultured bacterium. RNAcentral describes it as "partial 16S ribosomal RNA". It matches the Rfam family "Bacterial small subunit ribosomal RNA", at positions 524 to 776 of the family's 1533-position model. The record is from RNAcentral.
GACAGAGGUCUCAAGCGUUGUUCGGAUUCAUUGGGCGUAAAGGGUGCGUAGGCGGCGCGGUAAGUCGGGUGUGAAAUCUCGGAGCUUAACUCCGAAACUGCAUUCGAUACUGCCGUGCUUGAGGACUGGAGAGGAGACUGGAAUUUACGGUGUAGCGGUGAAAUGCGUAGAUAUCGUAAGGAAGACCAGUGGCGAAGGCGGGUCUCUGGACAGUGCCUGACGCUGAGGCACGAAGGUCAGGGGAGCAAACGGG